Molecule: ribosomal RNA, 464 nt
Filed under: uncultured bacterium
Lineage: Bacteria
Description: partial 16S ribosomal RNA
Rfam family: Bacterial small subunit ribosomal RNA
Source: RNAcentral
ACGAACGCUGGCGGCGUGCUUCACACAUGCCAGUCGAACGGAAAGGCCCCUUUGGGGGUACUCGAGUGGCGAACGGGUGAGUAACACGUGAGUAACCUGCCCUUGACUUCGGGAUAACUUCAGGAAACUGGGGCUAAUACCGGAUAGGAAUCCUUGCUGCAUGGUGGGGGUUGGAAAGCUUCGGCGGUUUUGGAUGGACUCGCGGCUUAUCAGCUUGUUGGUGGGGUAGUGGCUUACCAAGGCUUUGACGGGUAGCCGGCCUGAGAGGGCGACCGGCCACAUUGGGACUGAGAUACGGCCCAGACUCCUACGGGAGGCAGCAGUGGGGAAUAUUGCACAAUGGGCGGAAGCCUGAUGCAGCAACGCCGCGUGCGGGAUGACGGCCUUCGGGUUGUAAACCGCUUUCAGCAGGGGCGAAGCUUGUGGUGACGGUACCUGCAGAAGAAGCACCGGCUAACUACGUG